AGGGGCUUCGUGUGGACCAUUUGUAGAGGUCGAAUGCUUGUGCAGCUGCUUGACAUCAGUGAGAGCUUCAUACCAUGCUUACCAAUAGUAGAGAUCAUCAACUUAUGAGAAGGUGAUGAGUUCUAUCGACAUAAUCUAAAGAUUAGAUCAAAUUUCAGGCAUCGAUGUGAUCGAUGGAGUUUUCUAUUUUAUUUUAGAUUUUAUAUGUA
This 209-nucleotide long non-coding RNA is filed under the name Elaeis guineensis (African oil palm). Its description in RNAcentral is "long non-coding RNA (EGUI_LNC056514)". Lineage: Eukaryota; Viridiplantae; Streptophyta; Magnoliopsida; Arecales; Arecaceae. The record is from RNAcentral.